CCUACGGGUGGCAGCAGUGGGGGAUAUUGCACAAUGGGGGAAACCCUGAUGCAGCGACGCCGCGUGUGGGAAGACGGUCUUCUGGAUUGUAAACCACUGUACCCAGGGACGAAAAUGACGGUACCUGGGGAGGAAGCUCCGGCUAACUACGUGCCAGCAGCCGCGGUAAUACGUAGGGAGCAAGCGUUGUCCGGAAUUCCUGGGUGUAAAGGGAGCGUAGGCGGGGAUGCAAGUUGGGGGUCAAAACUACCGGCUCAACCGAUAGUCGCACUCAAAACUGCAGCUCUUGAGUGAAGUAGAGGCAGGCGGAAUUCCUAGUGUAGCGGUGAAAUGCGUAGAUAUUAGGAGGAACACCAGUGGCGAAGGCGGCCUGCUGGGCUGUUACUGACGCUGAGGCUCGAAAGUGUGGGGAGCAAACAGGAUUAGAUACCCCUGUAGUC
RNAcentral lists this ribosomal RNA (440 nucleotides) under uncultured bacterium. RNAcentral describes it as "partial 16S ribosomal RNA". It matches the Rfam family "Bacterial small subunit ribosomal RNA", at positions 338 to 795 of the family's 1533-position model. The record is from RNAcentral.